Molecule: transfer RNA, 70 nt
Filed under: Dipodomys ordii (Ord's kangaroo rat)
Lineage: Eukaryota; Metazoa; Chordata; Mammalia; Rodentia; Heteromyidae
Rfam family: tRNA
About the family: Transfer RNA (tRNA) molecules are approximately 80 nucleotides in length. Their secondary structure includes four short double-helical elements and three loops (D, anti-codon, and T loops).
Source: Rfam by way of RNAcentral
GGGAAUAUUGCUUAGUGGUAGAGUGCUUGCCUAGCAUGCAUGAAGCCCUGGGUUCGAUUCCUCAGUACCA